CCAGACUCCUACGGGAGGCAGCAGUGGGGAAUAUUGCACAAUGGGCGGAAGCCUGAUGCAGCAACGCCGCGUGCGGGAUGACGGCCUUCGGGUUGUAAACCGCUUUCGCCUGUGACGAAGCGUGAGUGACGGUAAUGGGUAAAGAAGCACCGGCUAACUACGUGCCAGCAGCCGCGGUGAUACGUAGGGUGCGAGCGUUGUCCGGAUUUAUUGGGCGUAAAGGGCUCGUAGGUGGUUGAUCGCGUCGGAAGUGUAAUCUUGGGGCUUAACCCUGAGCGUGCUUUCGAUACGGGUUGACUUGAGGAAGGUAGGGGAGAAUGGAAUUCCUGGUGGAGCGGUGGAAUGCGCAGAUAUCAGGAGGAACACCAGUGGCGAAGGCGGUUCUCUGGGCCUUUCCUGACGCUGAGGAGCGAAAGCGUGGGGAGCGAACAGGCUUAGAUACCCUGGUAGUCCACGCUGUAAACGGUGGGUACUAGGUGUGGGGUCCAUUCCACGGGUUCCGUGCCGUAGCUAACGCUUUAAGUACCCCGCCUGGGGAGUACGGCCGCAAGGCUAAAACUCAAAGGAAUUGACGGGGGCCCGCACAAGAAGGGCGA
Molecule: ribosomal RNA, 596 nt
Filed under: uncultured bacterium
Lineage: Bacteria
Description: bacterial SSU rRNA
Rfam family: Bacterial small subunit ribosomal RNA
Source: RNAcentral